RNAcentral lists this ribosomal RNA (551 nucleotides) under uncultured bacterium. RNAcentral describes it as "bacterial SSU rRNA". It matches the Rfam family "Bacterial small subunit ribosomal RNA", at positions 953 to 1503 of the family's 1533-position model. The record is from RNAcentral.
GACGCAACGCGAAGAACCUUACCUAGGCUCGAACGGCUUCUCAACGGCAGUAGAAAUAUUGCUAUCCCGCAAGGGAGUGGAGUCGAGGUGCUGCAUGGCUGUCGUCAGCUCGUGUCGUGAGAUGUUGGGUUAAGUCCCGCAACGAGCGCAACCCUUGCCCUGUGUUGCCAAUAUUAAGUUAGGAACUCUCAGGGGACCGCCAGCGAUAAGUUGGAGGAAGGUGGGGACGACGUCAAGUCAUCAUGGCCUUUAUGUCUAGGGCUACACACGUGCUACAAUGGUCGGUACAAAGCGCUGCCAACCCGCGAGGGGGAGCUAAUCGCAAAAAACCGUCCUCAGUUCGGAUUGCAGGCUGCAACUCGCCUGCAUGAAGCUGGAAUCGCUAGUAAUGGCGGAUCAGAAUGCCGCCGUGAAUACGUUCCCGGGCCUUGUACACACCGCCCGUCACACCACGAAAGUGGGUUGUACUAGAAGUCUGCGCGCCAACCGUAAGGAGGCAGCGGCCCAAGGUAUGACUCAUGAUUGGGGUGAAGUCGUAACAAGGUAACCGU